UCGGGAAUUUUGGGCAAUGGGCGAAAGCCUGACCCAGCAACGCCGCGUGAAGGAUGAAGUAUUUCGGUAUGUAAACUUCGUAAGAAUAGGAAGAAUAAAUGACGGUACUAUUUGUAAGGUCCGGCUAACUACGUGCCAGCAGCCGCGGUAAUACGUAGGGACCAAGCGUUGUUCGGAUUUACUGGGCGUAAAGGGCGCGUAGGCGGCGUGGUAAGUCAUCUGUGAAAUCUCCGAGCUUAACUCGGAACGGUCAGAUGAUACUGCUGUGCUAGAGUACAGAAAGGGCAAUCGGAAUUCUUGGUGUAGCGGUGAAAUGCGUAGAUAUCAAGAGGAACACCUGAGGCGAAGGCGGGUUGCUAGGCUGAUACUGACGCUGAGGCGCGAAAGCUAGGGUAGCAAACGGGAUUAGAUACCCUCGUAGUCCCUGAGCGGGCUGGCAAGGCG
RNAcentral lists this ribosomal RNA (444 nucleotides) under uncultured bacterium. RNAcentral describes it as "bacterial SSU rRNA". It matches the Rfam family "Bacterial small subunit ribosomal RNA", at positions 355 to 822 of the family's 1533-position model. The record is from RNAcentral.